AUUGAACGCUGGCGGUAGGCCUAACACAUGCAAGUCGAACGCGAAAGUCCUUCGGGAUGAGUAGAGUGGCGGACGGGUGAGUAACGCGUAGGAAUCUGUCCUGUAGUGGGGGAUAACGUUUCAAAAGGAACGCUAUUACCGCAUACGCCCUACGGGGGAAAGCGGGGGAUCUUCGGACCUCGUGCUAUAGGAGGAGCCUGCGUCGGAUUAGCUAGUUGGUGAGGUAAAGGCUCACCAAGGGGACGAUCCGUAGCUGGUCUGAGAGGAUGAUCAGCCACACCGGAACUGAGACACGGUCCGGACUCCUACGGGAGGCAGCAGUGGGGAAUAUUGCGCAAUGGGCGAAAGCCUGACGCAGCCAUACCGCGUGUGUGAAGAAGGCCUUCGGGUUGUAAAGCACUUUCAGUGGGGAGGAAAAGCUGGUGGCUAAUAUCCAUCGGCCGUGACGCUACCCACAGAAGAAGCACCGGCUAAUUCCGUGCCAGCCGCCGCGGUAA
This 497-nucleotide ribosomal RNA is filed under the name uncultured bacterium. RNAcentral's name for it is "partial 16S ribosomal RNA". It matches the Rfam family "Bacterial small subunit ribosomal RNA", at positions 30 to 523 of the family's 1533-position model. The record is from RNAcentral.